CGGGGCCCUAGCCCAAUUUCUUUAGUUUAGUAUUUCUUUGAUGUAUUUUGUAUUGUGUUAGGCAUGCCUAUAAAUAGUCAUGCCUACCUUAUUGUACUUCACUUUUAAGCUGAAUGAGAACUAGAUUUCUGAAAUCCAGAAUUAAUUCUCUCUUGAAAGUCAUUGGCUAGAGAGUCCAAAGACCUCUAGCCUCCUUCCAAAGCACACAACCUCAUUUUUUUUCAAUUUUCCAAGUGCUUCCGACUCAUCAGACGUCACGUUGAGUCACCAUUACUCCACGCUGCACCAUUCAUCAGACGCCACGCUUCUUGCGUCAGCAUCACCACCACGUCCACUUAAACUCUCGCAGACUCAAACUUUGCCAUUUCAUUUCUCGCCUUACUCCAUCUGCUAGGGUUUUCAUCCCACGCUUAUUCUCCUCACAGAUCCACAACGCCUCCCACACGGUGAUGGGUUGUCGCAGCC
Molecule: long non-coding RNA, 465 nt
Filed under: Vigna radiata
Lineage: Eukaryota; Viridiplantae; Streptophyta; Magnoliopsida; Fabales; Fabaceae
Description: long non-coding RNA (VRAD_LNC015812)
Source: RNAcentral